This 389-nucleotide ribosomal RNA is filed under the name Chaetoceros sp. Its description in RNAcentral is "partial small subunit ribosomal RNA". It matches the Rfam family "Eukaryotic small subunit ribosomal RNA", at positions 582 to 975 of the family's 1831-position model. Lineage: Eukaryota; Bacillariophyta; Thalassiosirophyceae; Chaetocerotales; Chaetocerotaceae. The record is from RNAcentral.
AUUCCAGCUCCAAUAGCGUAUAUUAAAGUUGUUGCAGUUAAAAAGCUCGUAGUUGGAUUUCCGGCGUGAGGGAUCAGUCUGACUUCUAGUCAGUACUUGGUCCUCUCAUGCCGUCCUUGAAUGGUGCAUCCUGGCAUUAAGUUGUCGGGGUGAGAGCCGUUCAUCGUUUACUGUGAGAAAAUUAGAGUGUUCAAAGCAGGCUUAUGCCGUUGAAUAUAUUAGCAUGGAAUAAUAAGACAGGACUUUGGUACUAUUUUGUUGGUUUGAGAACCAAGGUAAUGAUCAAUAGGGACAGUUGGGGGUAUUCGUAUUCAGUUGUCAGAGGUGAAAUUCUUAGAUUUCCGGAAGACGAACUACUGCGAAAGCAUUUACCAAGGAUGUUUUCAUUG